UACGAAGGGGGCUAGCGUUGUUCGGAAUUACUGGGCGUAAAGGGCGCGUAGGCGGUCCUGAUCGUCGGAUGUGAAAGGCCUGGGCUCAACCUCGGAACUGCCUUUGAUACUAUUGGUCUUGAAUGUUGUUGAGGUGGGCGGAACGGGUCAUGUAGCGGUGAAAUGCAUAGAUAUGACCCGGAACACCGAUUGCGAAGGCAGCCCGCUAAGCAACUAUUGACGCUGAGGCACGAAAGCGUGGGGAUCAAACAGG
This 253-nucleotide ribosomal RNA is filed under the name uncultured bacterium. RNAcentral describes it as "partial 16S ribosomal RNA". It matches the Rfam family "Bacterial small subunit ribosomal RNA", at positions 524 to 776 of the family's 1533-position model. The record is from RNAcentral.